RNAcentral lists this long non-coding RNA (285 nucleotides) under Homo sapiens (human). Its description in RNAcentral is "HSALNT0156363". Lineage: Eukaryota; Metazoa; Chordata; Mammalia; Primates; Hominidae. The record is from RNAcentral.
CCCCAGGAGCCACCCGCUGCCCAGAUCCUCACUUGGCAUUGGCUCUGUGCUGGGCUAGGGCAAUCUCGGUGGGCACCAGGAAGAGGACAUCGGUCUCAAAGUCCACCACAGUCUUCUUCUUAUUCUCCUGGGAUGGGUCCUGGGCCCAGGACUCGGUGUAGACAUCAAAGGUCGUCUUGGCGCCUCUGAGCCCCUUGGUGAUUGUGAACUCACUGACCAGCUUGUAGAAGUCCUCCCUGGGGGAAUCAAGUAGGCACUGACACUCAGCCUGUGCCAACAGGAAGG